RNAcentral lists this ribosomal RNA (450 nucleotides) under uncultured bacterium. Its description in RNAcentral is "partial 16S ribosomal RNA". It matches the Rfam family "Bacterial small subunit ribosomal RNA", at positions 330 to 794 of the family's 1533-position model. The record is from RNAcentral.
GCCAGACUCCUACGGGAGGCAGCAGUGGGGAAUAUUGGGCAAUGGGCGCAAGCCUGACCCAGCAACGCCGCGUGAAGGAAGAAGGCUUUCGGGUUGUAAACUUCUUUUCUCAGGGACGAAGCAAGUGACGGUACCUGAGGAAUAAGCCACGGCUAACUACGUGCCAGCAGCCGCGGUAAUACGUAGGUGGCAAGCGUUAUCCGGAUUUACUGGGUGUAAAGGGAGCGCAGGCGGCCUUGCAAGUCUGAUGUGAAAGGCCGGGGCCCAACCCCGGGACUGCUCUUGGAACUGCGUGGCUGGAGUGCAGGAGGGGCAGGCGGAAUUCCUGGUGUAGCGGUGAAAUGCGUAGAUAUCAGGAGGAACACCGGUGGCGAAGGCGGCCUGCUGGACUGCGACUGACGUUGAGGCCCGAAAGCGUGGGGAGCAAACAGGAUUAGAUACCCCCGUAGU